GGGUUGUGAGGUUAAGCGAAUAAGCGUACACGGUGGAUGCCUAGGCAAUCAGAGGCGAUGAAGGACGUGCUAAUCUGCGAAAAGCGUCGGUAAGGUGAUAUGAACCGUUAUACCCGACGAUAUCCGAAUGGGGAAACCCAGUAUCCAAUGAUACUAUCAUUAACUGAAUCCAUAGGUUAAUGAGGCGAACCGGGAGAACUGAAACAUCUCAGUACCCCGAGGAAAAGAAAUCAACCGAGAUUCCCCUAGUAGCGGCGAGCGAACGGGGAGCAGCCCAGAGUCUUAAUCAAUAGCAGUGUCAGGAGAACGGUCUGGAAAGUCCGGCAGUAAAGGGUGAUAGCCCCGUAUCUGAAGAUGCUGUUAUUGUGAACUCGACGAGUAGGGCGGGACACGUGUUAUCCUGUCUGAAUAUGGGGGGACCAUCCUCCAAGGCUAAAUACUCCUGAUUGACCGAUAGUGAACCAGUACCGUGAGGGAAAGGCGAAAAGAACCCCGGCGAGGGGAGUGAAAAAGAACCUGAAACCGUGUACGUACAAGCAGUAGGAGCCUCUUUAUGGGGUGACUGCGUACCUUUUGUAUAAUGGGUCAGCGACUUAUAUUCUGUAGCGAGGUUAACCGUAUAGGGGAGCCGUAGGGAAACCGAGUCUUAACUGGGCGAAUGAGUUGCAGGGUAUAGACCCGAAACCCGGUGAUCUAUCCAUGGGCAGGUUGAAGGUUGGGUAACACUAACUGGAGGACCGAACCGACUAAUGUUGAAAAAUUAGCGGAUGACUUGUGGAUGGGGG
This 785-nucleotide ribosomal RNA is filed under the name Proteus mirabilis. Its description in RNAcentral is "bacterial LSU rRNA". It matches the Rfam family "Bacterial large subunit ribosomal RNA", at positions 1 to 821 of the family's 2925-position model. Lineage: Bacteria; Pseudomonadati; Pseudomonadota; Gammaproteobacteria; Enterobacterales; Morganellaceae. The record is from RNAcentral.